This 427-nucleotide ribosomal RNA is filed under the name uncultured bacterium. RNAcentral's name for it is "partial 16S ribosomal RNA". It matches the Rfam family "Bacterial small subunit ribosomal RNA", at positions 355 to 774 of the family's 1533-position model. The record is from RNAcentral.
UGGGGAAUAUUGCACAAUGGGCGCAAGCCUGAUGCAGCCAUGCCGCGUGUAUGAAGAAGGCCUUCGGGUUGUAAAGUACUUUCAGCGAGGAGGAAGGCGUUGUGGUUAAUAACCGCAGCGAUUGACGUUACUCGCAGAAGAAGCACCGGCUAACUCCGUGCCAGCAGCCGCGGUAAUACGGAGGGUGCAAGCGUUAAUCGGAAUUACUGCGCGUAAAGCGCACGCAGGCGGUCUGUCAAGUCGGAUGUGAAAUCCCCGGGCUCAACCUGGGAACUGCAUCCGAAACUGGCAGGCUAGAGUCUUGUAGAGGGGGGUAGAAUUCCAGGUGUAGCGGUGAAAUGCGUAGAGAUCUGGAGGAAUACCGGUGGCGAAGGCGGCCCCCUGGACAAAGACUGACGCUCAGGUGCGAAAGCGUGGGGAGCAAACA